UUAUGGCUCAGGAUGAACGCUAGCGACAGGCUUAACACAUGCAAGUCGAGGGGCAUCACGGGAGUAGCAAUACAACUGGUGGCGACCGGCGCACGGGUGAGUAACGCGUAUGCAACCUACCUAUCAGAGGGGAAUAACCCGGCGAAAGUCGGACUAAUACCGCAUAAAACAGGGGCACCGCAUGGUGAUAUUUGUUAAAGAAAUUCGCUGAUAGAUGGGCAUGCGUUCCAUUAGGUAGUUGGUGAGGUAACGGCUCACCAAGCCGACGAUGGAUAGGGGAACUGAGAGGUUGGUCCCCCACACUGGUACUGAGACACGGACCAGACUCCUACGGGAGGCAGCAGUGAGGAAUAUUGGUCAAUGGGCGGGAGCCUGAACCAGCCAAGUCCGCGUGAAGGAAGAAGGAUCUAUGGUUCGUAAACUUCUUUUGCAGGGGAAUAAAGUGCAGGACGUGUCCUGUUUUGUAUGUACCCUGAGAAUAAGGAUCGGCUAACUCCGUGCCAGCCGCCGC
RNAcentral lists this ribosomal RNA (511 nucleotides) under uncultured bacterium. RNAcentral describes it as "bacterial SSU rRNA". It matches the Rfam family "Bacterial small subunit ribosomal RNA", at positions 17 to 518 of the family's 1533-position model. The record is from RNAcentral.